Phascolarctos cinereus (koala) is the source of this 961-nucleotide non-coding RNA. Lineage: Eukaryota; Metazoa; Chordata; Mammalia; Diprotodontia; Phascolarctidae. The record is from RefSeq and is a predicted model, not a curated record.
CUGGGUUGGAGAAACAACUUCCAAGCCUAUUGGCUCUUCCAGAUAGCCUUGUCCUCCCAGCAAGGGGUAGGUGAGUUAGCUCAUCCUUUGGCAGGAGCUGCAGAGGAACAGGGACCAGAGCUCUGGGGGAAGUCCAAACCCCUGUCUGCCUUGGGGUGGGGGGCCUGCCCUGCGUGUGCCCUCUGGGGUGGCCCCUGCCCUGCACUGUGCCGGGAUGGGGUGGGGCUACACCCCAGGCUCAGUCUGCCCCGGCCUUCUUCCUGAACAGCCGAGUGUGGCAUGCCGCAGGGCUUUGCAGCUCAGUGCCCCAACUGCUCGGAGGCAGAGGAAGACCUACUAGACCAUCCCAGGUGCAAGGCUAUGGAGCACAGACCUGAACUGGAUGGACUUUAUACAUCCUCUAAUUUGAUACCCCCAAAGAUAUUCUUAUCUAUUUUUUCUGCUAGAUUUGUCUGCGCUGUUUAGUACAGACAUGACUUACCCUCCAAGCUGUUCUACCUCUCUGCCAUCUGCCUUGUCCACCAGGAUGACUCUGUCCUAAGGCCUGCUUCUAGGAUUAGUGAGCCCAUAGAAACCUCACCGUUUCUUGAGGGGGGCCUACCCAUGCUGCUCCCUACCAUUGUACUCACUCUCCAGACUGCUCCACCCAGGGGUGUGCUGGGAAAUGUUGAACCGCUUCUGAGGAAGAUGAAAAAACAAUCCCAUUCCCAUGACACACUUUGAAGUUUAAUAUACAUUAUUGACAUUUUCCCCAUCACUUUCCUUUUCUUUUUUUUUUUUUGGAAGAUCAAUGGGUUUUUUUCCUUUUUGAAAUUUGAAUGAAUCAGCCAAAAUCUACUUUCUCACACACAUAUCCCAUAUUCUUCCCCCAACUGAGAACAUGAGAAAAACAAAACCCAUUACAUACUUGUAUAGUCACUCCAAACAGCUUUCUACAUCAAUAAAGUCCAAAACUAACAUG